This 74-nucleotide transfer RNA is filed under the name Chlorobiota bacterium. Its description in RNAcentral is "Chlorobi bacterium (hydrothermal vent metagenome) tRNA-Arg". It matches the Rfam family "tRNA". From Rfam's summary of the family: Transfer RNA (tRNA) molecules are approximately 80 nucleotides in length. Their secondary structure includes four short double-helical elements and three loops (D, anti-codon, and T loops). The record is from RNAcentral. Lineage: Bacteria; Pseudomonadati; Chlorobiota.
GGCUCCGUAGUUCAAUUGGAUAGAAUAUCGGAUUUCGGCUCCGAGGGUUGUGGGUUCGAGUCCCGCCGGAGUCA